CCUACGGGAGGCAGCAGUGGGGAAUAUUGGACAAUGGGCGAAAGCCUGAUCCAGCCAUGCCGCGUGUGUGAAGAAGGCCUUCGGGUUGUAAAGCACUUUCAGUGGGGAAGAAAGCCUUGGGGCUAAUACCCUCGAGGAAGGACAUCACCCACAGAAGAAGCACCGGCUAACUCCGUGCCAGCAGCCGCGGUAAUACGGAGGGUGCGAGCGUUAAUCGGAAUUACUGGGCGUAAAGCGCGCGUAGGCGGUCUGAUAAGCCGGUUGUGAAAGCCCCGGGCUCAACCUGGGAACGGCAUCCGGAGCUGUCAGGCUAGAGUGCAGGAGAGGAAGGUAGAAUUCCCGGUGUAGCGGUGAAAUGCGUAGAGAUCGGGAGGAAUACCAGUGGCGAAGGCGGCCUUCUGGACUGACACUGACGCUGAGGUGCGAAAGCGUGGGUAGCAAACAGGAUUAGAUACCCGUGUAGUC
This 465-nucleotide ribosomal RNA is filed under the name Vreelandella stevensii. Its description in RNAcentral is "partial 16S ribosomal RNA". It matches the Rfam family "Bacterial small subunit ribosomal RNA", at positions 338 to 795 of the family's 1533-position model. Lineage: Bacteria; Pseudomonadati; Pseudomonadota; Gammaproteobacteria; Oceanospirillales; Halomonadaceae. The record is from RNAcentral.